AUCCAUAGGCGUACAACCUUUGUUUACAUUAAAAACCCUAGAGAACAUCUUUGAUUCUAACAUUUGUCUUUCAUACGCAGGUUUUUACUUUGCAACAGAGUGACAUGUCGCCUCUCCCACCUGCGUCCUACCGGUCACUACCUCCGCUAAACAAGAACACCACAUCCGCUUCCUACUCUCACUCUGUCAAAACGAGUUUCAACAUCACCGAACAACCACCAUCUCGAGCUUCACCUCUAUCAACAGCCCAAAUCCGCUCGCUGCUUCAUCUCCUUCCGUCUUCAACCAUUCCAAUCAACUACCUUUUCCGCCUCCUGCCACCCUUACACGCCACUCCUUUCCUUUCUGGAUUAGAUCCAAAAAUACUAACCGGAUCUGCUAGCCAGCAAAAUUAGGGCUUCAAAGGUAUAUAUUAUAGCAUGUGGAGUCCAAAUCAAACGGCUAGAUAGUGUUUUAUCCCAAGACAAACCCUAAGUCAUAAUCUUUACCUUUUCAUUUGCCUUCAUCGUUCCUGAAAAGCAUAGGUUCUUCAACCUCAAUUCUCUAUUCAAGAAGACCAGUUCAUGACCUCAACCUCCGAUUUUGAGAUCUCUUUCUGCCGGUAACCUCUCUAUGAAAUCGGAAAGUGUUGAAGCUUCUACGUGGGUUUUUUUAUGUACAAACGAAUUGAGUGAAAUACUCACACUUCGCCUCAUCCAUGUCGGGAAGUGUUUUGUACUAAUGUUGCACCAUUUUUAAUGCUUUCUCUCACCGUAAUCUUUGCAUUCUACCAGAGUUUUUUAUUCCAAUAUAUGCCUCUUCUUGUGUUUCAGGUUGUUCACUGUCACUCAAGUAUUUAUAAUACUCACUGUGUGUAUGUUUACAAGUGUUUGGGUUUUUUAUAGAUUUAUUGGGAUGCUUUCUUUUAACUGAAACACUGACAUAGGAAAGAAAAGGAACUUGGAUACCAAACCUAAAGCUUAACCAUUCGUUUUUCAUUUUAGUUAUCGUUUUUUUUUUUUUUUUUUUUUUUUUUUUUUUUUUUUUUUUUGUACAAAAUGAGGUGAAGACAGAUCUGGAGGAGACGGAUAUGUGAUUAUUUGAAGGUUUAUUUUAUUUUAUUUUAAUCUUUUCAUCUGUAGGAAUUUUAAAUCAUAACCCAUGAAUUUUUUGUUGAUUGUUUUGUAAUUUUCCAAGUAGUGACAAAACUGUGAAAGAAACCGGUGCUCUCUUUAAGCAAAAUGCAUGUUCAUGGUAUAUAUGAAUUUAAUCUACCCAUAGUCAAUUACAUUAUAAGAAUUUAAACCCUAAUUUUCAGUUUGAUUAUUUUCUAUAUACGCUUAGUUAAUUUUACAUGUCAAAAUCUCACUUUUUUUUUUUGUUUCUUUGCAGCUUUUUGUUGGUGCUGAAGCAGGGAAAGGUGAUGUAAUGAGGAUCAAAUUUGAUUGGUUCUUAGCUGCAACUAGACGACUUUGUUUGCUUAUGUUUGAAAUAAUUAAAUAGUUAAAUAGAUAAUGGUUGGUGAGUUGAUGGAUGAUUUUUGGUAUUAAGUCAAAUGAG
RNAcentral lists this long non-coding RNA (1539 nucleotides) under Lactuca sativa (garden lettuce). RNAcentral describes it as "long non-coding RNA (LSAT_LNC008046)". The record is from RNAcentral. Lineage: Eukaryota; Viridiplantae; Streptophyta; Magnoliopsida; Asterales; Asteraceae.